CGCCAUGUAUCCACGGACCCACCUAC
RNAcentral lists this non-coding RNA (26 nucleotides) under Mus musculus (house mouse). The record is from RNAcentral. Lineage: Eukaryota; Metazoa; Chordata; Mammalia; Rodentia; Muridae.